UACGUAGGGUGCGAGCGUUGUCCGGAAUUACUGGGCGUAAAGAGCUCGUAGGUGGUUUGUCACGUCGUCUGUGAAAUUCUGGGGCUUAACCUCGGGCGUGCAGGCGAUACGGGCAAUACUUGAGUGCUGUAGGGGAGACUGGAAUUCCUGGUGUAGCGGUGGAAUGCGCAGAUAUCAGGAGGAACACCGAUGGCGAAGGCAGGUCUCUGGGCAGUAACUGACGCUCAUGCGCGAAAGCUGGGGUAGCGAACCGGAUUAGAUA
Molecule: ribosomal RNA, 262 nt
Filed under: uncultured prokaryote
Description: partial 16S ribosomal RNA
Rfam family: Bacterial small subunit ribosomal RNA
Source: RNAcentral